ACAGAAAAGUAGUCCCAGUUCGGAUUGUAGUCUGCAACUCRACUACAUGAAGUCGGAAUCGGCUAGUAAUCGCAAAUCAGCAUGUUGCGGUGAAUACGUUCCCGGGUCCUUGUACACACCGCCCGUCACACCCAUGGGAGUUUGAUGCACCCCAACUUUGUGACCAAACCGNCAAGGAUGGAGCAACCUAAGGUGAAGUCAAGUGAACUAGGGGUGA
This 217-nucleotide ribosomal RNA is filed under the name uncultured Eubacterium sp. RNAcentral describes it as "partial 16S ribosomal RNA". It matches the Rfam family "Bacterial small subunit ribosomal RNA", at positions 1274 to 1483 of the family's 1533-position model. The record is from RNAcentral. Lineage: Bacteria; Bacillati; Bacillota; Clostridia; Eubacteriales; Eubacteriaceae.